This 871-nucleotide ribosomal RNA is filed under the name delta proteobacterium SCGC AAA240-G18. Its description in RNAcentral is "SSU rRNA". It matches the Rfam family "Bacterial small subunit ribosomal RNA", at positions 29 to 916 of the family's 1533-position model. Lineage: Bacteria; Deltaproteobacteria. The record is from RNAcentral.
GCGACGCUGGCGGCAUGCCUAACACAUGCAAGUCGAACGAGAAAGUUCCUUCGGGAGCAAUUAAAGUGGCGCACGGGUGAGUAACGCGUAGACAAUCUGCCCUUCAGUCUGGGACAACUUUUCGAAAGGAGAGCUAAUACCGGAUAACAAUGCAUGACACAAGUUGUAUAUUUGAAAGCUUUAUGUGCUGAAGGAGGGGUCUGCGUCCCAUUAGCUAGUUGGUAAGGUAAAGGCUUACCAAGGCAACGAUGGGUAGCGGGUUUGAGAGGACGAUCCGCCACACUGGAACUGAGACACGGUCCAGACUCCUACGGGAGGCAGCAGUGGGGAAUAUUGCACAAUGGAGGAAACUCUGAUGCAGCAAUGUCGCGUGAGUGAAGAAGGCCCUUGGGUCGUAAAGCUCUUUUAUGGGGGAAGAUGAUGACGGUACCCCAAGAAUAAGCACCGGCUAACUAUGUGCCAGCAGCCGCGGUAAUACAUAGGGUGCGAGCGUUGUUCGGAAUUACUGGGCGUAAAGGGCGCGCAGGCGGAAUAGUAAGUCGGAGGUGAAAGCCCGGGGCUCAACCCCGGAGGGUCUUUCGAAACUACUAAUCUAGAGAGGGUCAGGGGCCGGCAGAAUUCCUGGUGUAGAGGUGAAAUUCGUAGAUAUCAGGAGGAAUACCGGUGGCGAAGGCGGCCGGCUGGGGCCACUCUGACGCUGAGGCGCGAAAGCGUGGGGAGCAAACAGGAUUAGAUACCCUGGUAGUCCACGCCGUAAACGAUGAGCACUGGACGUCCGGAGGGUUCGACCCUUCUGGGUGUCUCAGCUAACGCAUUAAGUGCUCCGCCUGGGGAGUACGGUCGCAAGACUAAACUAAUAAUUGAAUGACGG